This 412-nucleotide ribosomal RNA is filed under the name Pseudomonas sp. GW460-13. Its description in RNAcentral is "bacterial LSU rRNA". It matches the Rfam family "Bacterial large subunit ribosomal RNA", at positions 1995 to 2405 of the family's 2925-position model. The record is from RNAcentral. Lineage: Bacteria; Pseudomonadati; Pseudomonadota; Gammaproteobacteria; Pseudomonadales; Pseudomonadaceae.
AAUGGCGUAACGAUGGCCACACUGUCUCCUCCCGAGACUCAGCGAAGUUGAAGUGUUUGUGAUGAUGCAAUCUCCCCGCGGCUAGACGGAAAGACCCCAUGAACCUUUACUGUAGCUUUGCAUUGGACUUUGAACCGAUCUGUGUAGGAUAGGUGGGAGGCUUUGAAGCGUGGACGCUAGUUCACGUGGAGCCGUCCUUGAAAUACCACCCUGGUUUGUUUGAGGUUCUAACCUUGACCCGUGAAUCCGGGUCGGGGACAGUGCAUGGUAGGCAGUUUGACUGGGGCGGUCUCCUCCCAAAGUGUAACGGAGGAGUUCGAAGGUACGCUUGGUACGGUCGGACAUCGUACCUAAAGUGCAAUGGCAAAAGCGUGCUUAACUGCGAGACCGACAAGUCGAGCAGGUGCGAAAG